CCGGCUUGGACUUCGCCACGUAAGCCAGUCUUGUUGGCCCACGAGCUUCAAGAAAGCUGUGUCUCCCACCUUGGAGAGUUGGAACGAGAGGUGUGCCCUGGCUUUCUUUGUCCUCAAACUCCCUUCCUCAUGUUUGUAAGAGUGGGAUUGGCCAGCUUCCUGGACAUUUUCCAGGCCCGUGUUGAUACUGUACAGAUAUGGAUGCAGAUAUCAGCCAAGAUACAGUCAUAAUUACAGUCCGUGGUUCCUGAGAAUAUCAGCUCAGCAAUACAGGCCAUCUGCCAGUGAAUGUUCUGAAGAUAUCUGAUCCUGGAACCCAGUCAGGGCUGCAGAUUGCCUCUGGCCAUUAGAUACCUUUCAUCUUCCCCAGUGUCCUGUGCUUUCCAGCCCCCUCCACUCCUCCUGGUUCCAAAUCUUCUGUUUUCAAGACAUUUACAUCCGACUGUCAAGGCCCUCUUGAAGCUGGAGUGUUCGCAUGUGGCCUCCUCCCACCAUCUUCCUUGAACUCUGCUUGCAAGAAAGGACUACCUCAAAAGGCUUGUAUUGAAGCAGAGUCCUGGCACAGACACCUGCUGGUGGGGAACCUAGGGCCCAGGACCAGGGUGUGUGCUGCUUGUUCCUUCAGAGGCCGUGGAGCCAUCAAGUCCCCUCCAAUGGCUCCUGGACACCAUCGUACUGGCAGGCAGGGGACGGAGGUGGGUGUCAGGUUGACUGACCCUAUCUUGCUGGUGAUGGUUUUGCCCAUCUUCUGAGACUUGCUGUGCCCAUCCGGUGCAGACUCAGAGACUUGUGCACACUGUCUCUAUGGAGAAACUGAAGCACGCAGGGGAGGAUCACUGUCCUGAGGCUACACAGGCAGUUAGUGGCGAAUGCAAAACCAAGUUGGCCCAGUCAAAUCCAUGCUCCGGGGGGGGGGGUAGCAUAUUAUUCUGAGUAAUAAGCACUUCAGAUUUCAAAGACCUUUUUAGCUCAGCCCCUGUUCUGCCACGACAGCCCAAAGCAGCCAUUAGACAAUAUGUAAAUGAUUGGACAUGGCUUCACUCCAGAACCGUUGUAGGAACAGCUGGCUGUAUGCAGCUCCCGGGCUGGGUCUGCCAGUCCUUGCCCUUAGCCAGUAGCAAUAAUGGAAGCAUGGGGCAUGCUUCCCAGAAUGCCCCGGUGACCUCUCUGUCCUCACCCAAGUAGGCGAGGAAGUUUGCACAGACAGCAAUGGGCUGUAGAGGAGGCAGAGGUUCUGGAAGCCAAGCCAACUAGAAGACUCUGCUCUCUUCUGAAGAGCUAUGGCCUCCUGACUAGAGGCUCUAGGGGUGUGCUAACUCCAAGCUGUUUAGAAGCACUGCAAGUUGCAUGCUGCUCUCUGGUGUGGGUAGCAAUGGAUGCUCCUUCACCUUGGCUGUGGGGUUAAUGGCAUCAGAUAUCACCUCAGUGCUGGCAUGACGGCCAAGGUGAGGGUAAGACAGGCAGGUGACUACCUACACCGGACACAGGCUGGUCUCUCUAGCUUAAGGUAACACUAAAAGCAAGUUAAGUGCUUUGAGAAGCCUGAAAAAUGCAGCUUAUCAAGGAGUGUUUUGUGGGGCUGGAGAGACGGCUCAGCCGUUAAGGGCACUGACUGCGCUUCCAGAGGUCCUGAGUUCGAUCCCAGCACCCACAUGGAGACCAUCUGUAGCUGUGGAUGGGAUCAGAUGCCCUCUUCUGGUGUGCA
Long non-coding RNA from Alexandromys fortis (reed vole), 1705 nucleotides. RefSeq lists it as uncharacterized. Lineage: Eukaryota; Metazoa; Chordata; Mammalia; Rodentia; Cricetidae. The record is from RefSeq and is a predicted model, not a curated record. The transcript is spliced from 4 exons.